GACGAACGCUGGCGGCGUGCCUAAUACAUGCAAGUCGAACGCUGAAGGAGGAGCUUGCUUCUCUGGAUGAGUUGCGAACGGGUGAGUAACGCGUAGGUAACCUGCCUGGUAGCGGGGGAUAACUAUUGGAAACGAUAGCUAAUACCGCAUAAGAGUAGAUGUUGCAUGACAUUUGCUUAAAAGGUGCAAUUGCAUCACUACCAGAUGGACCUGCGUUGUAUUAGCUAGUUGGUGAGGUAACGGCUCACCAAGGCAACGAUACAUAGCCGGCCUGAGAGGGUGGUCGGCCACACUGGGACUGGGACACGGCCCAGACUCCUACGGGAGGCAGCAGUAGGGAAUCUUCGGCAAUGGACGGAAGUCUGACCGAGCAACGCCGCGUGAGGGAAGAAGGUUUUCGGGUCGUAAAGCUCUGUUGUAAGAGAAGAACGGGUGUGAGGGUGGAAAGUUCACACUGUGACGGUAUCUUACCAGAAAGGGACGGCUAACUACGUG
RNAcentral lists this ribosomal RNA (495 nucleotides) under uncultured bacterium. RNAcentral's name for it is "partial 16S ribosomal RNA". It matches the Rfam family "Bacterial small subunit ribosomal RNA", at positions 28 to 507 of the family's 1533-position model. The record is from RNAcentral.